GAUGAACGCUAGCGGCAGGCUUAAUACAUGCAAGUCGAGGGGCAGCGCGGGUAGCAAUACCUGGCGGCGACCGGCAAACGGGUGCGGAACACGUACGCAACCUUCCCAAAACUGGUGAAUAGCCCUCCGAAAGGAGGAUUAAUACACCGUACCAUACCGAGGAGGCAUCUCCUUGUUAUUAUAGUAGCAAUACGGUUUUGGAUGGGCGUGCGCCUGAUUAGGUAGUUGGCGGGGUAACGGCCCACCAAGCCUACGAUCAGUAACUGGUGUGAGAGCACGACCAGUCACACGGGCACUGAGACACGGGCCCGACUCCUACGGGAGGCAGCAGUAAGGAAUAUUGGUCAAUGGACGAAAGUCUGAACCAGCCAUGCCGCGUGAAGGAUGAAGG
Molecule: ribosomal RNA, 391 nt
Filed under: uncultured bacterium
Lineage: Bacteria
Description: bacterial SSU rRNA
Rfam family: Bacterial small subunit ribosomal RNA
Source: RNAcentral